GAGGUAUCAGAAGUGCGAAUGCUGACAUGAGUAACGACAAAGGGGGUGAAAAACCUCCUCGCCGGAAGACCAAGGGUUCCUGUCCAACGUUAAUCGGGGCAGGGUGAGUCGACCCCUAAGGUGAGGCCGAAAGGCGUAAUCGAUGGGAAACGGGUUAAUAUUCCCGUACUUCUGACUAUUGCGAUGGGGGGACGGAGAAGGCUAGGUGGGCCAGGCGACGGUUGUCCUGGUUCAAGUGCGUAGGCUUGAGAGUUAGGUAAAUCCGGCUCUCUCUAAGGCUGAGACACGACGUCGAGCUACUACGGUAGUGAAGUCAUUGAUGCCAUGCUUCCAGGAAAAGCCUCUAAGCUUCAGAUAGUCAGGAAUCGUACCCCAAACCGACACAGGUGGUCGGGUAGAGAAUACCAAGGCGCUUGAGAGAACUCGGGUGAAGGAACUAGGCAAAAUGGUACCGUAACUUCGGGAGAAGGUACGCUCUUGAUGGUGAAGUCCCUCGCGGAUGGAGCUGACGAGAGUCGCAGAUACCAGGUGGCUGCAACUGUUUAUUAAAAACACAGCACUGUGCAAAAUCGCAAGAUGACGUAUACGGUGUGACGCCUGCCCGGUGCCGGAAGGUUAAUUGAUGGGGUUAGCGCAAGCGAAGCUCUUGAUCGAAGCCCCGGUAAACGGCGGCCGUAACUAUAACGGUCCUAAGGUAGCGAAAUUCCUUGUCGGGUAAGUUCCGACCUGCACGAAUGGCGUAAUGAUGGCCACGCUGUCUCCACCCGAGACUCAGUGAAAUUGAAAUCGCUGUGAAGAUGCAGUGUACCCGCGGCUAGACGGAAAGACCCCGUGAACCUUUACUACAGCUUGGCACUGAACAUUGAACCUACAUGUGUAGGAUAGGUGGGAGGCUAUGAAGACGUGACGCCAGUUGCGUUGGAGCCGUCCUUGAAAUACCACCCUUGUAUGUUUGAUGUUCUAACUUAGACCCAUUAUCUGGGUUGAGGACAGUGCCUGGUGGGUAGUUUGACUGGGGCGGUCUCCUCCCAAAGAGUAACGGAGGAGCACGAAGGUGGGCUAAUCACGGUUGGACAUCGUGAGGUUAGUGCAAUGGCAUAAGCCCGCUUAACUGCGAGAAUGACGGUUCGAGCAGGUGCGAAAGCAGGUCAUAGUGAUCCGGUGGUUCUGUAUGGAAGGGCCAUCGCUCAACGGAUAAAAGGUACUCCGGGGAUAACAGGCUGAUACCGCCCAAGAGUUCAUAUCGACGGCGGUGUUUGGCACCUCGAUGUCGGCUCAUCACAUCCUGGGGCUGAAGUCGGUCCCAAGGGUAUGGCUGUUCGCCAUUUAAAGUGGUACGCGAGCUGGGUUUAGAACGUCGUGAGACAGUUCGGUCCCUAUCUGCCGUGGGCGUUGGAAGAUUGAAGGGGGCUGCUCCUAGUACGAGAGGACCGGAGUGGACGAACCUCUGGUGUUCGGGUUGUGUCGCCAGACGCAUUGCCCGGUAGCUAAGUUCGGAAUUGAUAAGCGCUGAAAGCAUCUAAGCGCGAAGCGAGCCCUGAGAUGAGUCUUCCCUGACAGUUUAACUGUCCUAAAGGGUUGUUCGAGACUAGAACGUUGAUAGGCAGGGUGUGUAAGCGUUGUGAGGCGUUGAGCUAACCUGUACUAAUUGCCCGUGAGGCUUAACCAU
Molecule: ribosomal RNA, 1669 nt
Filed under: Vibrio cholerae
Lineage: Bacteria; Pseudomonadati; Pseudomonadota; Gammaproteobacteria; Vibrionales; Vibrionaceae
Description: partial 23S ribosomal RNA
Rfam family: Bacterial large subunit ribosomal RNA
Source: RNAcentral